This 254-nucleotide ribosomal RNA is filed under the name uncultured bacterium. RNAcentral describes it as "partial 16S ribosomal RNA". It matches the Rfam family "Bacterial small subunit ribosomal RNA", at positions 524 to 776 of the family's 1533-position model. The record is from RNAcentral.
UACGUAGGGUGCAAGCGUUGUCCGGAAUUAUUGGGCGUAAAGAGCUCGUAGGCGGUCUGUCGCGUCGGCUGUGAAAUCCCGGAGCUCAACUCCGGGUCUGCAGUCGAUACGGGCAAACUGGAGUACUGCAGGGGAGACUGGAAUUCCUGGUGUAGCGGUGAAAUGCGCAGAUAUCAGGAGGAACACCGAUGGCGAAGGCAGGUCUCUGGGCCACUACUGACGCUGAGAAGCGAAAGCAUGGGGGAGCGAACAGG